This 500-nucleotide ribosomal RNA is filed under the name uncultured bacterium. RNAcentral's name for it is "partial 16S ribosomal RNA". It matches the Rfam family "Bacterial small subunit ribosomal RNA", at positions 30 to 523 of the family's 1533-position model. The record is from RNAcentral.
AUUGAACGCUGGCGGCAUGCCUUACACAUGCAAGUCGAACGGCAGCACGGGAGCAAUCCUGGUGGCGAGUGGCGAACGGGUGAGUAAUGUAUCGGAACGUGCCCAGUCGUGGGGGAUAACGUAGCGAAAGCUGCGCUAAUACCGCAUACGAUCUAUGGGUGAAAGCGGGGGAUCGCAAGACCUCGCGCGAUUGGAGCGGCCGAUAUCAGAUUAGGUAGUUGGUGGGGUAAAGGCUCACCAAGCCGACGAUCUGUAGCUGGUCUGAGAGGACGACCAGCCAAACUGGGACUGAGACACGGCCCAGACUCCUACGGGAGGCAGCAGUGGGGAAUUUUGGACAAUGGGCGCAAGCCUGAUCCAGCAAUGCCGCGUGCAGGAUGAAGGCCUUCGGGUUGUAAACUGCUUUUGUACGGAACGGAACGGCGAGCUCUAAUACAGUUUGCUAAUGACGGUACCGUAAGAAUAAGCACCGGCUAACUACGUGCCAGCAGCCGCGGUAA